This is a long non-coding RNA of Oncorhynchus tshawytscha (Chinook salmon), 479 nucleotides long. The record is from Ensembl. Lineage: Eukaryota; Metazoa; Chordata; Actinopteri; Salmoniformes; Salmonidae.
CAAAAACAUCACCAACUCAUCAUUACCAAUGAGGAUUGAUGCUGUCAAAUGGCGAGGAAAAGGUUGCAGACUCAAAUACUGAGUAUUUAAAAGCGAAAGGGAGCCGAGCAUUCACCUUGCUCAGCAUCAGUGAACAUGGCUAUGGCUAACGAGUCGAAAACAGUACGCAGAAAUGGAGAGCUAAGCGAAUGAUAGCUAGAUGGUAGGAAGGCGUGACAGGCCGCAUCCUGAACUUGUAUUUGGAUUUGAAGGAUUGGUCAUCUACACUACUAAUGUGAAAGGCAAUCAAAAAGAUGCGAUUGGGAAAUAAAAUCCAUCUCCCUCCGCUGUCGGGGAAACACAUAUUUUGACUCAUUGACAUCUGUCAAAAUUCAAAGGUGCGACAUAUUGAGACCUAGGUCUCUUUUUCAAUUGUGCCCUGGAUAAUACAACAUAAAUAUACACAUUGUUAUCAAAACCAUGUAUAAUUUGUUUUGUGG